RNAcentral lists this RNase P RNA (314 nucleotides) under Campylobacter concisus. Its description in RNAcentral is "Bacterial RNase P class A". It matches the Rfam family "Bacterial RNase P class A". From Rfam's summary of the family: Ribonuclease P (RNase P) is a ubiquitous endoribonuclease, found in archaea, bacteria and eukarya as well as chloroplasts and mitochondria. Its best characterised activity is the generation of mature 5'-ends of tRNAs by cleaving the 5'-leader elements of precursor-tRNAs. Lineage: Bacteria; Pseudomonadati; Campylobacterota; Epsilonproteobacteria; Campylobacterales; Campylobacteraceae. The record is from RNAcentral.
GGUAAGCGGUCGCUUUUGCAUCUUGCAAAAGAGGAAAGUCCGAGCUGCGAUAAGACAAAGUUCCAUCUAACGGAUGGCUAGGGAAACCUAAGGGAUAGUGUAACAGAAAGCAAACUUCCGCCUUGGCGGUAAAGGUGAAACGGCGGGGUAAGAGCCCACCGGCACGCUUGGUAACUUGCGUGGCCAUAUAAACCCAACUUGCAGUAAGAAGGGAUGGUUUUGGUCUUAUAUUAAAACCCUUCGCUAGAGCUUGUUUGUAAAAGCAAGCGUAGAUAAAUGAUCGCUCAAGACAGAACUCGGCUUAACGCCGUGCC